Molecule: ribosomal RNA, 90 nt
Filed under: Anaerotruncus sp. CAG:528
Lineage: Bacteria; Bacillati; Bacillota; Clostridia; Eubacteriales; Oscillospiraceae
Source: RNAcentral
GUCGGUGUUUAUUACGAAGAGGGUCCACCCGUUCCCAUUCCGAACACGGUAGUUAAGCUCUUCAGUGCCGAAAAUACUUGGCGGGCAGCC